Molecule: long non-coding RNA, 7135 nt
Organism: Cuculus canorus (common cuckoo)
Lineage: Eukaryota; Metazoa; Chordata; Aves; Cuculiformes; Cuculidae
Exons: 12
Source: RefSeq, a predicted model, not a curated record
GGGCUAUGUUCACCUUGGAAGACACUUUGUCCCUUGGGCACUUCCCUGGGAAGAGGACCAGCUUGGUGGCCAGCCGAACAGUUGUGCAGUGCCCACCUCCAAGGACAGCAUCAGCUGAGGGAGUAAUGGAGCAGUCGAAAAUUAGCCUCCUUCCACCUGACCCCAACAGAGUCUUUUAGAAGUGAAUGAUAAUGGAUCAGAGGGAAUGAAAACAGAUGGAUGUUAAAACAGACAAUUCCCUGCCACGAACCUGGGAGCCCUCCACUGCUGCCUAGUCCGUUCAUUCAGUUCAUAAUUGUAUUAGACAUUCCAACAAUAGAGAGGCCUUCUUCAUUAAUCCAGAAUUUACUGAAAAGAAGCUUUGCAGACUAUAGCUCUUUCGAUGCUUAGACAACACCGGGCAAAAUUUACCACAGGCUUAAAUGGAUAGAAAUCAGCUAGAUGGAAAGGAGCACAGAAAAUUCCAAAAGAAGCGAAAGAGAUGGGCCAGUGAGACUCAGAAGGAGCAGCAGCACUACGGGUGGACAAGAGACGCUCGAUUACCUUUGCAACAGGGCUGCAGCUUAGAUGAAAUCAAGGGAACUUGAAGAAAAGCUUUCCUCUUGCUGAAGGACAGAAGGAGCUGGACUUACCAAUAUUGCGCCUGUGAUUGAUUUGCUUUCCCCUUCGGGCAGCCAGCCGCCAGCUCGCCACAUGAGCCAGUGAAUGCCAGUCCCUGCCAUGUGAUGGGGCACAACCUUUUUGUAACCCUGGUCUGCAUCAGGUGACCGGGGCUGAGCGAUACAGAUCAAGUCUCUUACCAGCUGUCCUGUGAGUCAGACCCUGAUUACAAUAUUGACAUUAACAUUUUAAUCGCACGCGUGUCGUUGCAGAUUUUAAUGGCCAACUUGCUCUGCCUCUGCUUUUUGAGGAUCAGCGGUUAGACCCUGAUUGGUGGCUUGAGUGAGUGCACCACCAGAACAGCAGCUCCCCUCGCGUGAACGGCAUUGAGCUCACCACGAGCCUGUCCCUGGACAUUAACCUUGCUGGCACAGGAACACCUCACUGGAACGGGGACUUUGUUCUCAAUUACUCUAUUCCUGUGUCUGAGGUAGGACUGGAAGUUAUGAAAAGAUGAGAAAGGCGGCGCUUUUGUAGUCUCUGUAGCCUGAGGCGAUGUGAAAAUCUACCCAGUUCUUGUCUAACUAUCCUUUUUGAAUUCCCAGGGAUGUUAAUCAGAGCAGAGUAAUCCAGAGAUUUUUCCUCCAUCCUGUGGAACUGGAAGCAGGGCUGCUAUUACGCUUUUUCUGCCUUGUGCCAUCAGAGCAAGGGCUGAAGAAACUUCUUUGCAAAUGAGAAUCAGGCCUUAAAUCCGUGUUGUUCCUCUCUCCCCAAACAUGCGCCACACACUGUUGUGAGCACUGUGAGCUGCAUCUGUGAGGCCUCGCUGUGUCGAAGACUGUCAUGUCCAAGAUGGAAGGACAACCAAAAGGGUCUGAGGGAUGCUAGAGGGGAUGAGGACAGUAACAUCUUUGAUACAGGAUCCUUUGAGCAUCCAGCUCAACAUUGGACAAAAGGAUGCCUUCCGCUACACAGAGCCUUAAACUUGCAAAAGGGAUUUGUGAGCAGCUUGCUUGUCAAGAACAAAUGCUAGUCAAAAGAAAUGCAUGACUUAUUGACCUUGAGUUCACUGAACCUUCAUCUUGAUGCUUCCGCACCACUAAGGAAUCGGCCUCUCUGAAAAUUAAAGUUCCCAGAUUAGAACAGAAGCUUCAACAAAGGACUUGUAUGGCUUUACAAAUACACAUGGAUUAGAGGACUUUAAAAGAGCUUUGUUAGAACAAUGGGAUUAUGGAAAACAAAUGUUUGAGAGGUGAAGAGAUCGAUCUUCUCUCAAUGAAGUGACUCUUCUGCCCCUCAAGCCCAGUUGUCUGUGGGCCAACACAAGAAAAUAUUUUUGCAAAUCAAGAGGAGGAGGAACUGUGAGCCCUGUUUGGGCAGUGUCUGCAUGGUUCCAGGUGGGCUGUGGAGGAUGCAGAGCGCGUUACUCCGUGGAAGAGAUCCUAUAGUAUCGGUUCCCUCCCUACUCCAGACAGACUGUAACUGUGCUAGCAGUUUUCCAGCCAAAAGAAAAGGAGGAUGUGUUCAGGUACUACAGCAUGAGCACAAAUGAAGCAGAUCCCCAAACUGCUGUGGAACCUCUGCCAGGUCCUGAGGAGAGCCCACACCCUUCUGCUCAUCAGCUGAAAGCAAUGGUCUCGUCACCUGGGUGGUCUCCCCUGUUGCAAGGUCUUCCAGAACGGGCAUCGCUUUUCCACUUCAAAGGAAGUUCUGAAGCAACUGUGGAUCUUUCUAUGUCUUAGUUCUGUGUCCCAGUUCUGGAUGAUGUUUCUUGCUGAGAACAGACUCACAGGGAUUCAUCCACAAACAAACGCAUCCUGUGUGGCUGGGAGCACAGCUCAAAUGCUGUGGGAAAGCAAAGGAGUUUGAACUACGUGGUAAGAAUGGGAAGGAUUUCUGGGACUAUCUGGGAUGUGGGAACCAGGAAUGAUCCUGUGCUGAGAGAAGACUUUGCUAUCUGCUAUUCUCUCCUGAGCCCUGAUUUUCCUAUCAAGGGGAUGCAUCCUUUGAACCAGAUCAAAAUGUGAAGCAGAUUUUCAGAUAUUUCAUAGGGAUUUGAUUUUUCCUCUGUUAUUGCUGAAUUCUAUAUUUUCUUGCAGUGCCCUCCUAUUACCUGUCUUUAGUUUCCAGCUGGUUUCUUGUAUGCAGUUUAAGAAAAGUGCCUCGGAAGAUUAAGGAAGCGUUUUGUAGACGGUGUAAUUUCACCCAGCCCUGCAGUGACACAUCCCAUCCUCCAGGAGGGCAGAGCUGAACAUCCUUUUCCAGCAGCAGCACAAUUUUAGCUUCAGGCUUCAGCUACCGUCCAGCCUUCGAGCCCUGACACUAUCGCCUUUCGUGGGUGCUCAGUGCACGCACCGCUGAGCCCUGGGCUGAGCGGCGCCAUCAGUGUGAAGCUGAGCAAUGCUGCUUUGGGGGCUGAUGCUCCGAAGUAAGCAAUACAAGACCGCCCCACUUCCUCCGAUUCCAGCUCUACCUGCCACUGAGUAAAUAUUUUCCUGUGCAAGUGCUGUGCAAAGAUGAUCCCUUGCUCCUGUUAAUGAGGACUUCUCUAAUCACCCCCAUCUUUCAUCACCUGGUCUUGCCUGCAAGGGAAGUGAUCUUUCUUCAGAUCUCUGGAGCUGGAGCAUCAGUAUGAGCUUCAGUGAAGGUGCUGGAGAGAUACCCAUUACCACUGCUGGAUUCCAGGCUGAUAUCAUCGUGCUGGAACCAGGCUUUGCAGUGACAUGCUUCUCUCUCCCUCAGGCAUCCAACUCGCCCCGUCCACAUGUGCAGCCCAGGCGUGACCUCCGCACUUGGCUGGGCUCUGACCGCCCAUUUAACAGUCAAAGGCUGGAAAGGGAGUUGCUGGUGUGCUAUUUUUAACCAGCUGGACAGUUAAAUAAUUCAGACACAGACAUACACGCAGUGGUCUGGGCUGUGCCUGAGAUUUGAAAGGGGAGAAGAGCAUUGUGCUGCCCCUGCUAGCUUUGCUUGACCUUGGCAAGCAUGGGUUCCCAGGCUCUUUAACACAAACACAAAGCAAAACCCAAGUUUCCAGGAGUGAAAUCCUUGCCUCAGUGAUGUCAUUUGGGCUCCUGGCUCUGACUGCAAUGGAGCCUGGAACACACUUAACUGCAAGGCAUGAACUGUUCAGUAUUUCCUUGCUUCCUAAUGCUGCAGAACCUCCUUCUCCCCUCUAUGAAAUAAAACCCAUUACAGUGCGAGUAGGAGUCCAGAAUGGGGAAUGUCAAAACUUCUGGGGAAAACAGGAGCAGUUUCAAAAAAGCUCUUUGGAAGCAGGACGCUCCAUAUGUGGCUAGUCCCCUUGAUUUUGGACUUGGGAAGGAAGAUGCAUAGAAAAAGGUUUCAUGUCUUCUCUCCAGCCCACUCCUUUCCCCAGCUGCCCUGUGCAGUGAUUCACAGCUCAUUGAGGAGCCACCCCUCUCACACAGGGAUCCCUGGGAGAGCACAGAGCUCUGCUUUUCCCACCAAACAGACUUCAUCUGGAGUACCAGAGUCAGCGCUUUCAGAGAAAGCAUAGGGUAGUGGCUUGGUUUUGAGAGACACCAGAAGGGUUUUCACAGCUGGAAGUUGUUCUGCAGAGCAACAGAGGUGUCAGUGCAUUACUGCGUAACAAAACCAGCGGUCACCUGCUCUCAGUUUGGGCAAAUGGGUAUUUUCUAAUUUUUGCUCACUAACAGGUAGAGUUAUUUACUUUAAAUUUCCUCAAUAUUUUUUUCCUUGUCCAACUGAACUAAAACAAGAAAAUUCACUAUCACUGAAAACAGAUUUGAAUAGAAAUUACCUAUCCUGGUCUCCAGAUGCCAUUAUGAUGAUUCUACUCCAAUUGCAUUAUAUCAGUGUGGAGCCUGGUGGUACUAUCCUUGUCUGACAGACAGGGAAGCGCUGGAACAGGCUAUAAUAACUCACCAGAAAGUCUUGGAUGCAGGAAUUGCAUGAGUUAAAGGCCUCAAACUUCUAUAAAUUAGCUCAUUCUUGUGCUCUUGUCCUCUUAGUCUGUUUGCCUUCACCAGUGGGUAAUGCUUACUGUUUCCGAUGGAGACACACAUUAUCACACCUUAUUGUUUAAUCUUGGGCAAAUAUGAUCUGGGGGAGUGAGGUUUUACAAUUAAGUAAAUGUACCACAUUGAAUAGGCAAAAGAGACCCUGUUAAACGCAUGUGCAUCAAAGGAAAGGCUUGGACUCAGUCUUUUUAGGCAUGAGGGAACCCACAGAGGAGCUCAACUUUGAAAGAAAUGUGCAGCAAACCAGGCUUCACUGAUUCUGCUGUUAAUAGGACUGCUUGUUUCCUUUGAUUCCUGUGCGCCAGUUCAGCUGUGUUUUGGGACCGAACAAGAUCUUUCCACCAGUUCGAUUUCAAACACGCGGUAAAUGACUCUGUGUCUGAAGCACCCGAGGUUCCCGGGUGGUCUCUGCAAAGAGACCACGGCUGCUUCUGCUGCCGAGAUCGGGCGAGACGAGGCUCCCCGUUCUAGCGCGGUCAGCACCCGCCGUCUCAUCGGGCAGGUAAUCGAUAGGAGGAGGAGAAGGAUGUUACAAGUCCCUUGUGUGUUCCAUGUUUGAGGUUCUCCUUGUGUCUCCACAUCCCAAAUCGUGACAACAUUUAUUAAUGGAGACGUGUGAAGUCUCGUUAAAAGAAUGCGGCUUGUGAUGACGGCUUUAAUGAAUCACUUGUGGCCAGGAUGACUCAGCCAAAUCAGGCUGGCAGCCAGCAGCUGGGCAGAGGCGGCUUCCCGAAGGCAGACGCUUGGCAGCACGCGUACACGGCACUUGCUAAGAGCACAGCAUUUUUAAAAGGUCAGCUGUGACCCAUGCAAUCCCUGCAUGCUUCUGAAAACCUCUGAGGGGAACACCAGUAAGGAGAGCGAAUUUUGCAUCGGAGGUGUAUUUUUCCAGCUAGAAGUGUUGGUAAGUGGGUGGGAAGGCUGGACAUCCAGAGCUUGUAUUUGCAAACGGAACUGAUAGUACACUUGAAAAAUGCAACCUUAGGUUUACCAAAUCCCACUUCUUUUUCCCCAGCUGUGAGCUAUCUGUCUGUCCUUCCGUCUGAGCUGCAAAAGGACAUUCCCCUGGGAGGCAGAUGCCCUGCCUCUUUGAGAGUGCAUGGAAAAUAGCAUGCCGUGCCACGUACAAUGGACAAGCUCAAUUUUCAGAUAAUACAGAAUUGGGAUGUCUUAUCUAAUGCUGGUAGCAGACUCUCCUGAGAGUCUGCACAGCAAAAUUCACCUUCUUAGUACAGCGAAUUUAAAUCACCAGAGCCACACUGGUAAAACUCUCCUGUGCACAACCUCAUUCUGGACUCAAGUCCUCGAGUAAUUAUUCUGUAAUAAAGUCACUUAAAUUUUAGAAUAGAGUGUCCGUGUGGAGGAGUUAUACAGGCACAGCUAUAACAGGAUAAUUAUUUUGUUAUAGCUAUGCCAGUCGAUUUCUCAAGGCCUCAGUCACAUGGGAAAGCUGAAAUGAUGUAUUUUUUACAGUCUCCAGCAAUUCUUUAUUUUUUAAUGUCCAUUAGUGCUUGACUAACGCUGAAUGAUAGUAGAAAUUCUCCAGGACAAAGGCACCUCUCAGAAUUUUCUUGUGGUUAUCAAAGGAAUUUGGUUUUAUCCUGUUAAAGCUAAUAUGUAAUGAAUUGCUGGUGAUUGGGGGUUUAUAGCUGAAUUGACUGGGAAUUAUGAAGCCACUGUUUACUAAAUCCAAACAGAAUAGCUGAAAUACAAUUGUAGAGAAGGUCCUUAUUUAUGUGUGAAGAAUCCUUAAGAUUUUUAAAGAGUACACACUAAAACCAACAAGGAUAUAAAAUUCCCUUCUCCCCACACUAUUGAAAGUUUUAUCUUUCAACAUAGGAUUUUAUGACUAAGCUUAACAGUUUCAUGGGUUCUGAAAUAGUUCAGUUCCUGAGUAAGUUGCUGCAAGAUGAAUACCAUAUGAUUAUUAUUAAUUAACGUGGUGAAUAUAGUACUUCAGAAUAAAACCGCACCUAUCAAAGGACAAUGGCAUACAUGAGAUUUCUAUGGCGAUACGACUGAUCUAGCUCAAGUCUGGAGAUUAAAGCACAGAAGGAACUCAGAGCCUGGAUCCCUUGGAAUUGCCCAGUGAAACGCUAGACAUAGCAAACAGGAGGCAACUGAAUUUGUCGCAGUCCUAUUUGAAGUUAGCAGAACAGGGAAGGCCAAAGAUCUCUGUGCCCACGGAUGCGCUGUGUGGCUCCUGCACGCCAGUAAGGGCACACGGCAAACUCUUUGUGGAGCUGAGGCUUAUGUACAAGCAAGCGGACCCAACAUGAUGUGCUUAAUUGAAAGUGUAACUCAAAAUGAAACCUGCCUAUAGUUGUCAGCUGUCCUACAGCAGAAUGUUAUCUAAUUACAUGUAUAGCUUCUUAGAAGAGGAAAAAGAAUUGAAUUGAGGUAGAGGACACCACCGUGCAUGUCCAAGUGGAAUGUAUACAAGGAUAAAAGCGAAGUGUGGUCUGCAGGGCCAUGUAUUUCACGCACGCUUGGGUAGGUGGACAGCUUGUAGGUUCCAUGAGAGUCCCCCC